Molecule: ribosomal RNA, 492 nt
Filed under: uncultured bacterium
Lineage: Bacteria
Description: partial 16S ribosomal RNA
Rfam family: Bacterial small subunit ribosomal RNA
Source: RNAcentral
AGUGAACGCUGGCGGUAGGCCUAACACAUGCAAGUCGAACGGCAGCACAGUAAGAGCUUGCUCUUACGGGUGGCGAGUGGCGGACGGGUGAGGAAUACAUCGGAAUCUACUUUUUCGUGGGGGAUAACGUAGGUAAACUUACGCUAAUACCGCAUACGACCUACGGGUGAAAGCAGGGGAUCUUCGGACCUUGCGCGAUUGAAUGAGCCGAUGUCGGAUUAGCUAGUUGGCGGGGUAAAGGCCCACCAAGGCGACGAUCCGUAGCUGGUCUGAGAGGAUGAUCAGCCACACUGGAACUGAGACACGGUCCAGACUCCUACGGGAGGCAGCAGUGGGGAAUAUUGGACAAAGGGCGCAAGCCUGAUCCAGCCAUACCGCGUGGGUGAAGAAGGCCUUCGGGUUGUAAAGCCCUUUUGUUGGGAAAGAAAAGCAGCAGGUUAAUACCCCGCUGUUCUGACGGUACCCAAAGAAUAAGCACCGGCUAACUUCGUG